This 72-nucleotide transfer RNA is filed under the name Camelus bactrianus (Bactrian camel). It matches the Rfam family "tRNA". Rfam says of the family: Transfer RNA (tRNA) molecules are approximately 80 nucleotides in length. Lineage: Eukaryota; Metazoa; Chordata; Mammalia; Artiodactyla; Camelidae. RNAcentral also lists the same sequence under 3 other names. The record is from Rfam by way of RNAcentral.
GGGGACAUAGCUCAGUGGUAGAGUGCAUGCUUGGUGUGUAUGAGGUCCUGGGUUCAAUCCCCAGUGCCUCCG